This is a small nuclear RNA of Heterocephalus glaber (naked mole-rat), 107 nucleotides long. The record is from Ensembl. NCBI's taxonomy places the organism in Eukaryota, Metazoa, Chordata, Mammalia, Rodentia, Bathyergidae.
GUGCUCGGUUCGGCAGCACAUAUACUAAAAUUGGAAUGAUACAGAGAAGAUUAGUAUGGUCCCUGCGCAAGGAUGACAUGCAAAUUCAUGAAGCAUUCCAUAUUUUU